GAUGAAGAACGUAGCGAAAUGCGAUACGUAAUGUGAAUUGCAGAAUUCAGUGAAUCAUCGAAUCUUUGAACGCAUAUUGCGCUCUUUGGUAUUCCGAAGAGCAUGCUUGUUUGAGUAUCAGUAAACACCUCAACCUCUUCUUGAUUUUUCAAAAGGAGGGUGGACUUGAGCUAUCCCAACAACCUUUACCGGUCGGCGGGCGGCUUGAAAUGCAGGUGCAGCUGGACUUUUAUCUGAGCUAAAAGCAUAUCUAUUUAGUCCUCGUCAAACAGGAUUAUUACUUUUGCUGCAGCUAACAUAAAGGAUAAUUGUCCUCUUUGCUGACUGAUGCAGGAUUUUACGACACUUUAUGUGUUGUUCAACUCGAUCUCAAAUCAAGUAAGACUACCCGCUGAACUUAAGCAUAACAAUAAGCGGAGGA
Molecule: unclassified non-coding RNA, 421 nt
Filed under: soil metagenome
Description: partial contains 5.8S ribosomal RNA, internal transcribed spacer 2, and large subunit ribosomal RNA
Rfam family: 5.8S ribosomal RNA (bases 1-120)
Source: RNAcentral